CCCUUAGAUGUUCUGGGCCGCACGCGCGCUACACUGACGAAUUCAACGAGCUUAUAACCUUGGCCGAAAGGUCUAGGUAAUCUCCAAAAUUCGUCGUGAUGGGGAUAGAUUAUUGCAAUUAUUAAUCUUCAACGAGGAAUGCCUAGUAAGCGCAAGUCAUCAGCUUGCGUUGAUUACGUCCCUGCCCUUUGUACACACCGCCCGUCGCUCCUACCGAUUGAAUGGUCCGGUGAAGCCUCCGGAUUGGCGCGCACCUCGGUGCCGCCGAGAAGUUGGCUAAACCUUACCAUUUAGAGGAAGGUGAAGUCGUAACA
This 314-nucleotide ribosomal RNA is filed under the name uncultured eukaryote. Its description in RNAcentral is "partial 18S ribosomal RNA". It matches the Rfam family "Eukaryotic small subunit ribosomal RNA", at positions 1470 to 1796 of the family's 1831-position model. The record is from RNAcentral.